UACGGAGGGUGCGAGCGUUGUCCGGAAUCACUGGGCGUAAAGGGCGCGUAGGCGGCAUGCCAAGCGUGUGGUGAAAGCCCGGGGCUCAACCCCGGGUCGGCCGUGCGGACUGGCGUGCUCGAGCACUGUAGGGGCGGGUGGAAUUCCGGGUGUAGCGGUGGAAUGCGUAGAUAUCGAGAGGAACACCUGCGGCGAAGGCGGGUUGCUGGGCUGACACUGACGCUGAUGCGCGAAAGCUAGGGGAGCGAACGGG
RNAcentral lists this ribosomal RNA (253 nucleotides) under uncultured bacterium. Its description in RNAcentral is "partial 16S ribosomal RNA". It matches the Rfam family "Bacterial small subunit ribosomal RNA", at positions 524 to 776 of the family's 1533-position model. The record is from RNAcentral.